Molecule: ribosomal RNA, 476 nt
Filed under: uncultured bacterium
Lineage: Bacteria
Description: partial 16S ribosomal RNA
Rfam family: Bacterial small subunit ribosomal RNA
Source: RNAcentral
AUUGAACGCUGGCGGCAUGCCUUACACAUGCAAGUCGAACGGUAACAGGUUAAGCUGACGAGUGGCGCACGGGCGAGUAAUACAUCGGAACGUGCCCAGUAGUGGGGGAUAGACCGGCGAAAGCCGGAUUAAUACCGCAUCCGACACAAGGGAGAAUGGGGGGGAUCGCAAGACAUUUCGCUAUUGGAGCGGUCGAUGUCAGAUUAGCUAGUUGGUGGGGUAAAAGCUCACCAAGGCGACGAUCUGUAGCUGAUCUGAGAGGACGACCAGCCACACUGGGACUGAGACACGGCCCAGACUCCUACGGGAGGCAGCAGUGGGGAAUUUUGGACAAUGGGCGCAAGCCUGAUCCAGCCAUGCCGCGUGCGUGAAGAAGGCCUUCGGGUUGUAAACCGCUUUUGUCAGGGAAGAAAUCCUUUGGGUUAAUACCUCGGGGGGAUGACGGUACCUGAAGAAUAAGCACCGGCAAACUACGU